CGUUCUUCACUGGCUAGCUUU
Molecule: microRNA, 21 nt
Filed under: Salmo salar (Atlantic salmon)
Lineage: Eukaryota; Metazoa; Chordata; Actinopteri; Salmoniformes; Salmonidae
Description: ssa-miR-22b-5p
Gene: ssa-miR-22b-5p
Source: miRBase by way of RNAcentral